This 579-nucleotide ribosomal RNA is filed under the name Dujonia zeylanoides. RNAcentral describes it as "eukaryotic LSU rRNA". It matches the Rfam family "Eukaryotic large subunit ribosomal RNA", at positions 71 to 666 of the family's 3401-position model. Lineage: Eukaryota; Fungi; Ascomycota; Pichiomycetes; Serinales; Debaryomycetaceae. The record is from RNAcentral.
GGGAUUGCCUCAGUACGGCGAUCUGAAGCGGCAAAAGCUCAAAUUUGAAAUCUAGCACUUUCAGUGUUCGAGUUGUAAUUUGAAGAAGGUAACUUUGGUUUUGGCUCUUGUCUAUGUUCCUUGGAACAGGACGUCACAGAGGGUGAGAAUCCCGUGCGAUGAGAUGCCCAAUUCCAUGUAAAGUGCUUUCGAAGAGUCGAGUUGUUUGGGAAUGCAGCUCUAAGUGGGUGGUAAAUUCCAUCUAAAGCUAAAUAUUGGCGAGAGACCGAUAGCGAACAAGUACAGUGAUGGAAAGAUGAAAAGAACUUUGAAAAGAGAGUGAAAAAGUACGUGAAAUUGUUGAAAGGGAAGGGCUUGAGAUCAGACUUGGUAUUUUGCGUUCCCUUCCUUUUUGGUUGGGUUCCUCGCAGUUUACUGGGCCAGCAUCGGUUUGGAUGGUAGGAUAAUGACAUUGGAAUGUAGCUUUACUUCGGUGAAGUGUUAUAGACUUUGUUGAUACUGCCUAUCUAGACCGAGGACUGCGUCUUUGACUAGGAUGCUGGCGUAAUGAUCUUAAGCCGCCCGUCUUGAAACACGGAC